Molecule: ribosomal RNA, 253 nt
Filed under: uncultured bacterium
Lineage: Bacteria
Description: partial 16S ribosomal RNA
Rfam family: Bacterial small subunit ribosomal RNA
Source: RNAcentral
UACAGAGGGGGCAAGCGUUGUUCGGAAUUACUGGGCGUAAAGCGCACGUAGGCGGCUUUGUAAGUUAGAGGUGAAAGCCCAGGGCUUAACCCUGGAAUUGCCUUUAAGACUGCAUCGCUAGAAUCGUGGAGAGGUGAGUGGAAUUCCGAGUGUAGAGGUGAAAUUCGUAGAUAUUCGGAAGAACACCAGUGGCGAAGGCGACUCACUGGACACGUAUUGACGCUGAGGUGCGAAAGCGUGGGGAGCAAACAGG